This 1215-nucleotide long non-coding RNA is filed under the name Sus scrofa (pig). RNAcentral describes it as "lncRNA (ENSSSCG00070023656.1)". The stretch from base 1018 to 1111 matches the Rfam family "Small nucleolar RNA SNORD116". The record is from RNAcentral. Lineage: Eukaryota; Metazoa; Chordata; Mammalia; Artiodactyla; Suidae.
GCCCAUGGGCGCCCCGGGUCCAGGGCCCGCGGAGCCGCUCUCGGGGCGGAGACCUUGCCCCCAGGGGCACGUCAGCGGUCCUGAGGUGAGGCUCCUGCAGAGCACUCUGGGCCGCGUGUGUCUCUCCCUGCGUGGGCAGGCAGUGUCGGUGGCCGGAGCGAGGGUGUUUUCCCAUCGGGGUGAGAGGGAGAGCCCCAGGGUGGGCCUGGGGCGGAAUCGGACUCGGGGUUGGGGUGGACUCUUCUGAAGCUGGGAGGGGUGCGGGUGGGCAGGGCCUUAGGGAGCCUGAGGGAGGUGCGGUUCCUGGGGGAAGGGUGUGGCGCCCCAGCGAAGGGGCAGUGCUGGCCACUCCGUGUGGCGCUUGGCUGCUGGCACCCAGUGAGAGGGGGAGGCCAGGGACAGGUGGCAGCCAGGCUGCCCACAGGCCCUGGGCGGUGGGGGCCGGCCCUGUGCCUUGGGCAACUGGGCCCCUUGCUGAGGCGUGCUUGCGCGUGUCCGUUGUCGCCCUCACCCAGCUGCUGCGGCGGAGAAACGGAGGCCAGCGCGGGGAGCGGAAGCCGGAGCCUGUCGGGAGCGACCCCGGGAAGGCCAGUCCCUCCUGCCGGUGGGAGGCGUGUUGGCGUGCGGCCGGUGGCGGGAUCGAUGGCCACCUGGUAGGCGAUGCUGCUGCGGCGGAGAAACGGAGGCCAGCGCGGGGAGCGGAAGCCGGAGCCUGUCGGGAGCGACCCCGGGAAGGCCAGUCCCUCCUGCCGGUGGGAGGCGGGUUGGCGAGCGGCCGGUGGCGGGAUCGAUGGCCACCUGGUAGGCGAUGGUAAGCGGCAGUGGCCUGCGCCAAGGUAGCCCCCGGGGGGCGGUGUGUGGCGCCCGGACCCGCACCCUCUGCUCCCGGGGGUGGAGCUGACCUGCUUGCCCGCGGUUGGGCUCGGGAGCCUGCGGGCCGCGGCCAGGAGGGAGCUGGCUGGCCGUCCCGGCGGUGGGGGCUGUGGCGGUGGCCGUCCCGCGGGUGUGCCCGUGCUCGGAUCGAUGAUGACACCCACAAACGCAUUCCUUGGAAAAUCUGAACAAAAUGAGUGAGAACUCACUACCGUCUCCUCAUCGCAAACUGAGGUCCGGCACGUGGCUCCCACAGGGGCCGUCGGGGGAGGGUCCCGUUGCCUUGGCUCCCUUGGGUGCGUGCAGCCCUGGGGCGCAGGUGGGGGCAGGCAGGCCUCCGGU